AAUUGCUGCUCGUCUUCUCUUCAAUCUCCUCUUGAGUUUCCUUCCUUCAGGAGCAGAUAGCCCAUGUUCAGGAAGAAGCGGUUUACAAGGAAUCAAGUGAGGUACUAAUACUCCUAACCUCCUUUGUACACAGAGAUGAGCAUGAGACCCAAUGAGUUAUAAGGAAAAGAUUCUCUCUUUCUGAUAAAAGGAGAUAAGUAUUCAAUAAGAACUGUGUCUUACUGGCUCGGCCACCCCCUCAAUUGUUUACUUUGGAAACACACUGCGAGAGUGUGAUGUCUAGAGCUGUAGCAGUCACCUUGGGACCAUGAGGUGAGAGUCCACGGAUCAUACCCUGAAGUGUCCUCAGGAUUUGAAACCACUGUCAUGUCAGUCCCAUGGUUACACUUCACCUUCCCAAGUAUGUCUUUAAUUACUCUCUCAGCAGCCAACAAUUUCUUGCAGAGAAUCAUAUAAGAAUCAAUAAAUGUUUACUGAAUGCCCUAGGCUCUGGGCUGGGACAAAGGCAUGGAAGAAGCAGGCCUGUUCUGGAGGACUUUGCAGAUUUCCUUCAGUUUCACAUGCCAGAAACCCAGCUUCACAGUGGCGAGGAUGGGAAAAUGAGGCAGGAAAUAAACCUGAGGACCUAGCAUGGUGCUUAAGAAAUGUCAGUCCUCUCAUUGAGGACUUCAGUUCAGGAAACUCUUUUACACGUUUGUCAUCUCCAUUUUCACCUUCGCAAAGACCUUGAAGAGAAGUAUAAAAUUCUUACUCUCAAUGUGAAGAUAAGGAUACAGAGCCAGAUUUUGUGUGUCUUCCUCAGCGGCACUGAAAGCCCAUGGCAACGAGGUGCCUUGGUCCCACAUUUCCUGAUUUCCACUUUGGUGUCUUUUUUCCCCCCUUAUAGAUCACACAAUGUCAAGAUUAGUAAAAAUCCUUAGAAAUUAUCUAGCUUAAGGAUGACAAGCAGGUUUUACUUUCUUAUGUGCUGGCUUUGGCCUCCUGGUAACCACGGCCCGAGCCCUGGAUUGUGUUCUACCUACUGGGGAAGGGUGCUGUGAUCCAUUAGUAAUGUCUGCAUGGGCUUUGGUGAGUUAGCGUGUGGGGCACUUGCUAUUCUUCAUCUAAUCCAACCUCUCAUUUAAACAACAAACAAACAAACCUCAGAGAUGGGAACUGACUUACUCAAGGUUACCCAAUGAGCUAGGGGCAGGACUGGGUCUAGUGAUUUUUCUCAUUGACAGUCCAGUUGCCAAGCCUUGAUAAUAAGACUUCACUGUUUUCUUCCCACAGCAGGAUUUCCAUUGUUUAGGUAGCCUAGACUAUUAGAGGCCAUAGGCUCUAACCCCAGCUGUGAUGCUGUGUAGAAUUCAACAAGUUGACUCAUCUUUUUGUGCUUACAGAUAAAUCUGCUUCCUCUCAACAUCUUCCCCUAUCUUGAAGAAACUGCAAAGUUUGUGCAUUACCAAAGCUUGUGCAUUAGACAUUGCCUAAGAAAUGUCAGUCAAGAAGGUUAAAAUGAAAGAAACACGGCUUAGAAUAUGUAGAGAACUUGACAGACAACUGGAGUUGAAAGGGGCCUGGGGAAGAACAGGGAGCCCAUGGAAAUCCUGCUUGUCAGUGAUGGUGAACUGGCGUGGCUUGGAUAUUUGAAUCGGCACACCGGGGUUUCCAGCAGAAACAUUAUAGACCGUAAAUGCAGAA
Molecule: long non-coding RNA, 1683 nt
Organism: Mustela erminea (ermine)
Lineage: Eukaryota; Metazoa; Chordata; Mammalia; Carnivora; Mustelidae
Exons: 4
Source: RefSeq, a predicted model, not a curated record